UUGAACGCUGGCGGCAGGCCUAACCCAUGCAAGUCGCACGGUAACAGGAAGCAGCUUGCUGCUUCGCUGACGAGUGGCGGACGGGUGAGUAAUGUCUGGGAAGCUGCCUGAUGGAGGGGGAUAACUACUGGAAACGGUAGCUAAUACCGCAUAAUGUCGCAAGACCAAAGAGGGGGACCUUCGGGCCUCUUGCCAUCGGAUGUGCCCAGAUGGGAUUAGCUUGUUGGUGGGGUAACGGCUCACCAAGGCGACGAUCCCUAGCUGGUCUGAGAGGAUGACCAGCCACACUGGGACUGAGACACGGUCCAGACUCCUACGGGAGGCAGCAGUGGGGAAUAUUGCACAAUGGGCGCAAGCCUGAUGCAGCCAUGCCGCGUGUAUGAAGAAGGCCUUCGGGUUGUAAAGUACUUUCAGCGGGGAGGAAGGGAGUAAAGUUAAUACCUUUGCUCAUUGACGUUACCCGCAGAAGAAGCACCGGCUAACUCCGUG
Molecule: ribosomal RNA, 489 nt
Filed under: uncultured bacterium
Lineage: Bacteria
Description: partial 16S ribosomal RNA
Rfam family: Bacterial small subunit ribosomal RNA
Source: RNAcentral